AAGAAAAUAAUACAAGCAUUUUAUUAUAACAUUUUAAGCAAACAAAAUAAUCACACAAUCAAUAUUUACUUUACCAAUUUUUACUCUUAUGCACUGUUAAAUAACUAAAAAAUAAAAGCUAUAAAUAAAAAAAACUUCAUAUCACUGUGACAGAGAGACAUGAAUACGAAAUCAUGGAGAAAAAUUACUAGGUGAAAUAUCAAUAAUAUUGCUUCAGAUAAAACAAAAUUAAGCUUUACAAAAUUCAGAAAAACAGUAAUCAAUGACCUAUACAUCCACCUACUCAAAAAAGGAAAAUCCUAUUAACACCAAAAAGUGGUUAAGCAUAUAAAAUUUUCAAUAAAAUAGAAUUAUAAUAAAAAUUCAUCAUCUGUUAACUAGUUGAUCAUAGUCCGAAUCAGUGAGAAAAUAGUAAAAUAAUUCACCAUAAUUAAAAAAUAUUAAUUUACUCAAAAAUGCUACAAAAUAUUGAAAAAAUAAGUGAAGCAAUGAGUUUAAAUGAAGAAAUAAGUUCUUUAAUUAGUUCAAAUAAAAAAAUGCAUUCAAAUUAAAGGAAAAAAUUACAAUUUACUCAGAUUGCCUUCGUGUGGGCAUACGCGCGGAUGGGGUUAAGGAUCGCAACUUUAGAACUCCAGCCGAAAGUGGAGGAAGAGAACGUACGGAUGGCCGCACAACACGAGUUCGUCGAAGAAUCAGCUAAGGAUGAAAGAAGAGAGAGAGGAAGUAGAGAUGAAGAAAAAGAGGAGGGAGCAGAGGGAACCCUAGAGGAAUAGAGGGAAAGAGAGAAAAAGUAGGAAAAAAAGGGAAGUGAAGUUAUCAUCACUUUUUUUCCUAAAUUUUAU
This 842-nucleotide long non-coding RNA is filed under the name Ananas comosus (pineapple). RNAcentral describes it as "long non-coding RNA (ACOM_LNC042109)". The record is from RNAcentral. Lineage: Eukaryota; Viridiplantae; Streptophyta; Magnoliopsida; Poales; Bromeliaceae.